RNAcentral lists this ribosomal RNA (397 nucleotides) under uncultured bacterium. Its description in RNAcentral is "partial 16S ribosomal RNA". It matches the Rfam family "Bacterial small subunit ribosomal RNA", at positions 523 to 918 of the family's 1533-position model. The record is from RNAcentral.
AUACGUAGGUGACAUGCGUUAUCCGGAUUUACUGGGUGUAAAGGGCGUGUAGGCGGUUUAGCAAGUCAGAAGUGAAAUUCCCGGGCUUAACUUGGGCGCUGCUUCUGAAACUGCUUUACUUGAGUGCUGGAGAGGAUAGUGGAAUUCCUAGUGUAGCGGUAAAAUGCGCAGAUAUUAGGAGGAACACCGGUGGCGAAGGCGGCUAUCUGGACAGUAACUGACGCUGAGGCGCGAAAGCACGGGGAGCAAACGGGAUUAGAUACCCUGGUAGUCCGUGCCGUAAACGAUGAAUACUAGGUGUAGGGGGUAUCGACUCCCUCUGUGCCGCAGUUAACACAUUAAGUAUUCCACCUGGGGAGUACGGCCGCAAGGUUGAAACUCAAAUGAAUUGACGGGG